Molecule: long non-coding RNA, 2477 nt
Organism: Triticum aestivum (bread wheat)
Lineage: Eukaryota; Viridiplantae; Streptophyta; Magnoliopsida; Poales; Poaceae
Exons: 3
Source: RefSeq, a predicted model, not a curated record
UGCUCUGGAGAAAAAGGUACGGAGCACGGCGAUGCGGGUAAACCUAGGUACACGGUACGCCGCCUCCCUCGAUCUCCUUUUGUCUGGAACGCUGCUACCCUUUCAGCCGUCGUUUCCACUCAUCCCCAAACCCCGACCCUCCCAAUCCUUCUCCUCUUGUGACCGAGGGUGAAUCGUUUGUGUGCCGCCACUUCUGCGAGAUGUCGCCGAUGCGCAAGGAAAUUCGAAGGAGAAGUGCUACACUUGCAACCCCGGAGGCGGCGGCGACCUCCCCUUCAUAAAGACGUCCGUGAAGGUACGGUCAGGAGAGACAAGGCGCGACGAAGAACUCUCGCGUCCUGAUUGCAGUUCGAUGUCCCUGCCAUCGAUGCAUUUAACAGCCGUCUGCAGAGUGAAGGCCAACGACUAAGAUAUCUCGUGAAAUUCAAUCCCGCCCUCCUGAUUCAGUUCAUGACGGAAGCUGCUAACACCGAUUCUGAAUUUAAUAGCAACAAAGCGUUAGGAUUAUCCCUCUGGUUCAAUCAAUUUUUGCAGUUGUUGUGUGUUCGCGCUCCGUUCAUUCACUGAUUCAAUUUCACAUAUUGGACAUUCCUUUUCCGAUUGUUCUGGUGCUUCGAUCAGAAGUGCCCUGUCGAAUUAACGAGUUAAGCUGCCGUUAAUGGUAGUGGAGGUGCGCCACUCCUAUGCUGAUGUUGGAGAAUUUCUGACCACAAGAGAACGACAAGGAGGCAGUGGCGUCCAAUUUCAUAUGCGAGGUGGCGAAUCUGGGCGAGCUGCCGCUAAUGUCUCGACAGUAAUUAAUCGAAGUGAUCGUGUUUGUUGUUCAUGAACAUGCUAUGGCAGAACAAUUCAAUUUCUGGCCCAAUUACUUGGUGAGAAAGGCAUCUAGGUAGCAGCACCCUAAUUCACUUUGUUAUCUCAAGAACCUCAAGUGUAUGUAAGAUUUAUUUCUCAGGUUGUUGAUCGCUAAGCCUUCCUGUUGUAUAUAAAAGCUUAUUUUCAUUCUGUUCCUCUCGUCGCUACAAGAAAUUUAACAGAAACAGAACCUAUAGUUUUACGUGAUUCAUUAGCCACCAUUAAAUUUCCUUCCUGUUAUGUAUUUUGUGUCAGUCCCGUUUCCUUUUCCCUCCAUGGAGUCCUUAAUAUUAUUCGAAUAAUGUUGAGCUGGUGCAAGUUAUAGAUUUGUGAUUAGCUCUUCUCAAAAUCUAUGAACCUUGGCUUUGGAAAUACACAUGUUGUCUUGACCAUUCCUAGGUUCCUGCCUAUUUUACCAUUUGACGAUCACAAUUACUAUAUCAUAGUUGCUGUAAGAUGAGUUUUAAACAUAUGCUGGCACCUACAUAUAUUAUGAAGUGUGAUUUGAUAUAUAUUGCAAAGAAAUAGCAAUGCCUACUUGUUCUGGAUAUAAUUUUGUAUCAGUUCACAGCUGAUCAUACAUUUUUAUUUGUUAACAUAAGAAAUCUUUGGCUUCUCCUAAUUAUACCAUUUUUAUUUGUACAUAAGAAACCUUUGACUUCUCCAACCACUGAGUACUGAAGUUUCUAUAUGUCUGGAUUUCUCAAUGGUCAAUCAAUUUGUUACCAUAUAGUUGAGCACUUGAGCAGUCUGCCAAUAUACGAUUAUAAUUUUACUAGUAGGAAGCUAAACAAGAAAAUAUAAUUAACUUUGUUAGGUACGUGGAGCAAUACUAACUCUUUAAAUCAUGUGUUAGUAUUGUACUAGAAUUUACGAAUAUUUGUAAUUUUGUUCCAUGAUCCAUGUUAUUGCAUGUCCACAUUAUUUUUCUCCAAGUAUUUUUGGAUGCUUAAAAAAUUACCUCUCAAAGGUUUAUUGUACCAGAGAUUUUAUUUUGAGGCAUGCCACAUUUGAGUUUAACACAAUAGAGAAUAUUUUAAUUCACACAAAAAGGAAAACAACAGCUACAUGGGCCGGCCCUAUAGUGGUUUGCAUGUGCGUUAUAGCGACAAUACGCCAGAAAAGGCGAUGAAUGGGAUUUUCCACCCUCGCUGGCAUAUUGUUUUUUCCUCCGGCAACCAAGCCAAUUCUGCUAGAUUGAAGGCGAGAUGGCUGGUGUUCUUGGUAUGGACUACUCUGAAAGCCAGUCUUCAGCAGGGUUUUAACUCUCACAAAUGUAGUUUUUCUAUAGGAAUAGAUACUGAAUCCCGAAUACUUUGAUUGUUAUGCUGUGAAAGUAUCAAUAUUCACUAACCUUUCUGAUUCAGCCCAUUGAAGUCUUCUAUGUAAUGCAUUGAGCCAUUGGUAGUGUUGAAAUUGGAGUAAAGAACGAUGUUGAAAUUGCUCUGAUUAUUACUGAAUUAUGUUGUACUCCUGAACUUGUUAGAGGGUGACAACUUAGAAGUUUCAGGUCUCAUUUGUCCAUUUUCAUUUAGUCAUUUUAAUUUUAACUUUGAGAGGGCACCAUGAUCUUAUUAGGAAUAUCAGCUUUGCAUGAUUAAUUGGUGUUUUUUACAUUCAUA